Dreissena polymorpha is the source of this 1509-nucleotide long non-coding RNA. RefSeq lists it as uncharacterized. The transcript has 2 exons. The record is from RefSeq and is a predicted model, not a curated record. NCBI's taxonomy places the organism in Eukaryota, Metazoa, Mollusca, Bivalvia, Myida, Dreissenidae.
GUGACAAGGCAAAGUUAGAUAACUCUGGUGUGCAUUUGGACAGAAUUAUGUGCCCUUUUUAUACUUAGAAAAUUGAAACUUUGGUUAAGUUUUGCGUUAAGGUCCAUUUUAUUCCUUAAGUAUCAAAGCUAUUGCUUUCAUACUUGCAACACUUACUAACUAUCAUAAGAGGCUGUGCAGGCAAAGUUAUGUAACUCUGAGACUGGCACUUGGACAGAAUUAUGUACCCUUUGUAUACUAAGAAAAUUGAAAAUUAGGUUAAGUUUUGCUUUCAUACUUGCAACACUUACUAACUAUCAUAAAGGGACUGUGCAGUAAGUUAUGUAACUCUUGACUGGCAUUUUGACAGAAUUAUGGGCCCUUUAUACUUAGAAAAUUGAAAGUUUGUUAAGUUUUGUGUUUUGGUCCACUUUACUCCUAAAGUAUCAUAGAUAUUGCUUUCAUACUUGGAACACAUCGCAAACUAUCAUAAGGGGACAGUACAGGACAAGUUGCAUAACUCUGGUUGUCAUUUUGACGAAAUUAUGGCCCUUUUUUGACUUUUUAACUUUGAAUAUAUUGUUAAAUUUUGUGUUUAGAUCCACUUUACUUCUAAAGAAUCAAGGCUAUUGCUUUCAAACUUCAAAUACUUUCAUGCUAUCAUGAGGGUACUGUACCUGGCAAGUUGAAUUUGGCCUUGACCUUUGAAUGACCUUGACUCUCAAGGUCAAAUUAUUAAAUUUUGCUUAAAUUGCCAUAACUUCUUUAUUUAUGAUCAGAUUUGAUUGAUACUUUGACAAAACAACUCUUACCUGACAUACCACAAUAGACUCCACCCAAACCAUCCCCCACGCCCCACCCCAGAAUCCCCCCCCCCAAAAAAAAGUUGUUUUUAUGUCCCCCACUAUAGUAGUGGGGGACAUAUUGUUUUUGCCCUGUCUGUUGGUCUGUCUGUUGGUCUGUCUGUUUGCUCCAACUUUAACAUUUUGCAAUAACUUUUGCUAUAUUGAAGAUAGCAACUUCAUAUUUGGCAUGCAUGUGUAUCUCAUGAAGCUGCACAUUUUGAGUGGUGAAAGGUCAAGGUCAUCCUUCAAGGUCAGAGGUCAAUUAUAUGUGGCCAAAAUCGCUCAUUUUAUGAAUACUUUUGCAAUAUUGAAGAUAGCAACUUGAUAUUUGGCAUGCAUGUGCAUCUCAUGGAGCUGCUCAUUUUGAGUGGUGAAAGGUCAAGGUCAUCCUUCAAGGUCAGAGGUCAAAUAUAUGUGGCCCAAAUCCCUUAUUUUAUGAAUACUUUUGCAAUAUUGAAGAUAGCAACUUGAUAUUUGGCAUGCAUGUGUAUCUCAUGGAGCUGCACAUUUUGAGUGGUGAAAGGUCAAGGUCAUCCUUCACAAGGUCAAGGUCAUACUACAAUGUCAAACAUCAUAUAGGGGGACAUUGUGUUUCACAAACACAUCUUGUUUUUUUUUUCGUUUUUUUUAAGAUCAUCUAAUAAAUGACCACACCCUCACACUAUAACCCCCCACCCCCCCCCCC